This 492-nucleotide ribosomal RNA is filed under the name uncultured bacterium. RNAcentral describes it as "partial 16S ribosomal RNA". It matches the Rfam family "Bacterial small subunit ribosomal RNA", at positions 29 to 507 of the family's 1533-position model. The record is from RNAcentral.
AGUGAACGCUGGCGGUAGGCCUAACACAUGCAAGUCGAACGGCAGCACAGUAAGAGCUUGCUCUUACGGGUGGCGAGUGGCGGACGGGUGAGGAAUACAUCGGAAUCUACUUUUUCGUGGGGGAUAACGUAGGGAAACUUACGCUAAUACCGCAUACGACCUACGGGUGAAAGCAGGGGAUCUUCGGACCUUGCGCGAUUGAAUGAGCCGAUGUUGGAUUAGCUAGUUGGCGGGGUAAAGGCCCACCAAGGCGACGAUCCGUAGCUGGUCUGAGAGGAUGAUCAGCCACACUGGAACUGAGACACGGUCCAGGCUCCUACGGGAGGCAGCAGUGGGGAAUAUUGGACAAUGGGCGCAAGCCUGAUCCAGCCAUACCGCGUGGGUGAAGAAGGCCUUCGGGUUGUAAAGCCCUUUUGUUGGGAAAGAAAAGCAGCAGGUUAAUACCCCGCUGUUCUGACGGUACCCAAAGAAUAAGCACCGGCUAACUUCGUG